AUUUUUACAAAAUUUCCGUUUACUAGAUACUAUUUUUUAUCAUAAACAAUUAGAUUCCGACCAUGUUUGGUAGAAAUCCAGGAUUGUUUCAGAAAGUUAUUAAGAUUUUAAAAACUUUACAGCCGAUUGCAUAGAGUGUGUAGACAAAGGUAAUAUCUUUUGUUAGCUUGCUUUAUAACUGAACAGUGAAGUCAUUAUUAUGUUAGGUAAACUACCCUCCUUUAAGAGUAGACUAGUCCGACAGGUAACCAAUCUAAUGUAUUUGUUUCACCAAAUAUAUUACCUUUGUCUACACACUCAUUCAAUGCAAUCAGCUGUAA
Molecule: long non-coding RNA, 320 nt
Filed under: Mytilus galloprovincialis (Mediterranean mussel)
Lineage: Eukaryota; Metazoa; Mollusca; Bivalvia; Mytilida; Mytilidae
Source: RNAcentral